CUUAUGCGUUGUUGGGUAGGGGAGCGUUCUGUAAGCCUGUGAAGGUGUACUGUGAGGUAUGCUGGAGGUAUCAGAAGUGCGAAUGCUGACAUAAGUAACGAUAAAGCGGGUGAAAAGCCCGCUCGCCGGAAGACCAAGGGUUCCUGUCCAACGUUAAUCGGGGCAGGGUGAGUCGACCCCUAAGGCGAGGCCGAAAGGCGUAGUCGAUGGGAAACAGGUUAAUAUUCCUGUACUUGGUGUUACUGCGAAGGGGGGACGGAGAAGGCUAUGUUGGCCGGGCGACGGUUGUCCCGGUUUAAGCGUGUAGGCUGGUUUUCCAGGCAAAUCCGGAAAAUCAAGGCUGAGGCGUGAUGACGAGGCACUACGGUGCUGAAGCAACAAAUGCCCUGCUUCCAGGAAAAGCCUCUAAGCAUCAGGUAACAUCAAAUCGUACCCCAAACCGACACAGGUGGUCAGGUAGAGAAUACCAAGGCGCUUGAGAGAACUCGGGUGAAGGAACUAGGCAAAAUGGUGCCGUAACUUCGGGAGAAGGCACGCUGAUAUGUAGGUGAAGCGACUUGCUCGUGGAGCUGAAAUCAGUCGAAGAUACCAGCUGGCUGCAACUGUUUAUUAAAAACACAGCACUGUGCAAACACGAAAGUGGACGUAUACGGUGUGACGCCUGCCCGGUGCCGGAAGGUUAAUUGAUGGGGUUAGCGGUAACGCGAAGCUCUUGAUCGAAGCCCCGGUAAACGGCGGCCGUAACUAUAACGGUCCUAAGGUAGCGAAAUUCCUUGUCGGGUAAGUUCCGACCUGCACGAAUGGCGUAAUGAUGGCCAGGCUGUCUCCACCCGAGACUCAGUGAAAUUGAACUCGCUGUGAAGAUGCAGUGUACCCGCGGCAAGACGGAAAGACCCCGUGAACCUUUACUAUAGCUUGACACUGAACAUUGAGCCUUGAUGUGUAGGAUAGGUGGGAGGCUUUGAAGUGUGGACGCCAGUCUGCAUGGAGCCGACCUUGAAAUACCACCCUUUAAUGUUUGAUGUUCUAACGUUGGCCCCUUAUCGGGGUUGCGGACAGUGUCUGGUGGGUAGUUUGACUGGGGCGGUCUCCUCCUAAAGAGUAACGGAGGAGCACGAAGGUUGGCUAAUCCUGGUCGGACAUCAGGAGGUUAGUGCAAUGGCAUAAGCCAGCUUGACUGCGAGCGUGACGGCGCGAGCAGGUGCGAAAGCAGGUCAUAGUGAUCCGGUGGUUCUGAAUGGAAGGGCCAUCGCUCAACGGAUAAAAGGUACUCCGGGGAUAACAGGCUGAUACCGCCCAAGAGUUCAUAUCGACGGCGGUGUUUGGCACCUCGAUGUCGGCUCAUCACAUCCUGGGGCUGAAGUAGGUCCCAAGGGUAUGGCUGUUCGCCAUUUAAAGUGGUACGCGAGCUGGGUUUAGAACGUCGUGAGACAGUUCGGUCCCUAUCUGCCGUGGGCGCUGGAGAACUGAGGGGGGCUGCUCCUAGUACGAGAGGACCGGAGUGGACGCAUCACUGGUGUUCGGGUUGUCAUGCCAAUGGCACUGCCCGGUAGCUAAAUGCGGAAGAGAUAAGUGCUGAAAGCAUCUAAGCACGAAACUUGCCCCGAGAUGAGUUCUCCCUGACCCUUUAAGGGUCCUGAAGGAACGUUGAAGACGACGACGUUGAUAGGCCGGGUGUGUAAGCGCAGCGAUGCGUUGAGCUAACCGGUACUAAUGAACCGUGAG
Molecule: ribosomal RNA, 1725 nt
Filed under: Escherichia coli
Lineage: Bacteria; Pseudomonadati; Pseudomonadota; Gammaproteobacteria; Enterobacterales; Enterobacteriaceae
Description: partial 23S ribosomal RNA
Rfam family: Bacterial large subunit ribosomal RNA
Source: RNAcentral